RNAcentral lists this ribosomal RNA (253 nucleotides) under uncultured bacterium. RNAcentral's name for it is "partial 16S ribosomal RNA". It matches the Rfam family "Bacterial small subunit ribosomal RNA", at positions 524 to 776 of the family's 1533-position model. The record is from RNAcentral.
UACGUAGGGUGCAAGCGUUAAUCGGAAUUACUGGGCGUAAAGCGUGCGCAGGCGGUUUUGUAAGUCUGUCGUGAAAUCCCCGGGCUCAACCUGGGAAUUGCGAUGGAGACCGCAAGGCUAGAAUCUGGCAGAGGGGGGUAGAAUUCCACGUGUAGCAGUGAAAUGCGUAGAGAUGUGGAGGAACACCGAUGGCGAAGGCAGCCCCCUGGGUCAAGAUUGACGCUCAUGCACGAAAGCGUGGGGAGCAAACAGG